AGAGAGAGAGAGAGAGAGAGGCGUGCGAACCAGAAGCUCGGCCGGCCUCCCCCUUCGCUCGUCCGGCCGCUCGGCCGCUCGUCGCCGGCCGCCCCUCCGCCCGCUUGCCGUCGCUCAGCUCGCGUGCACCUCCGCUUCUCUCCUCUAUCCUCUUUCUGCUGUUCGGUGCCCUUGUUGUGCGAAGAUCAGAGCAAACCGAAGCAGCAUGUCCCGCUCGCCGUCGGAGCAGCUGCACGCCUCCGACCGUCGCCGUGGCGCCGCCCUAGCGCGCGGUGCUGCCCGCGCGUCUCAGCCCCCUCACGCCGUCGCCCCUGUUUCAACCGAGAUCCAGCAGCUUCUUCGAGUAGCUCAGGCCAUCACCGGAGCUCCCUCCGCCGCCGUCGACCUCCCCUUCAGCCCGUCCAAGCCCUCGCCGGUCUCCUCCGCCGUUCCUCCGCCCAAACCGGCGCCGGAUCUGCUCCCUCUCGGCCCCAAGCAGAAUCUGGAAAAAUGGGUAUGGCAGCGGGUGUUUGGCCCGUUUUGGCCGCCUUCCCGAGCCCGGAUGUUCGGCUCGCUUUGAGGAAAGUCGAUCCCCGCGUCGUCCCCGUCGUUUUGGUCCGCUCGGCUCGCUAAUCCGGUGAGUUUAGCUCACUAAAUCUUGAUUAGACGGUUAAUGAUGCCCUAAGUGUGCUUAGUCUAAGUUAAGUAAGUUUAGGUGGUUAGAUUAGUUUAUUUGGUUGAGGAUUAUAUUAAGAUGCUUAAUUAAGUUAAAGUGUGUUUAGUUUAAAAUUAAGUAUGUUUAUUUUAAUAUAAAGCCUUGAUGUGACAUAAUAGGGUUUUACUUUUGAAUUAUUUAAUGAUUUCGAAUUCUGGAAUUUAUAAUAUUAUAUUAUAUUCCGAAAUUAUUAAAAUAUUAUUAUUUAUAAAAAAAUGGAAAAAUUAUUUUUGACCCCGAUUGCUUAGAAUUUCGUGCCGAUCGCUGCUGUGUAAUCGGAUUUUGAAAUUGAUGAUUGGAUAUUAUAAAUUGAGCGUGGAUCGUGAAAAAUAUGGAUAUUAUUAUUAUAUUAAUUUUCGGAAUAAAUUUAAUUAUUUAAUAAAUUCCGAAAAAUAUUUUGGGACCGUAAAUUCUCAGAAUUUUGUGCUGAUUGCUGCAGCGUAUUCAGAUUUUGAAUUUGAUGAUUAGAUAUUCAAAUUGAGUGAUGAUUGGUGCAAUUAAUUAUCUAAUUGUUGUGUGCUGGUUGAAAGACUCGGGUCGCAGUAGUGGCUAGGCCGAUUGGAUCCUUAUUCUACUAGAAAUGCUGUCAAGGGAGUGACGUGGCUCGGGUCGCAGUAGUGGCUAGGCCGACUGGACCUUUGUUCUUCUAGAAAUGCCGUCAAGGGAGUGACGUGGCUCGGGUCGCAGUAGUGGCUAGGCCGACUGGAUCCUUAUUCUACUAGAAAUGCCGUCAAGGGAGUGACGUGGCUCGGGUCGCAGUAGUGGCUAGGCCGACUGGACCUUUGUUCUUCUAGAAAUGCCGUCAAGGGAGUGACGUGGCUCGGGUCGCAGUAGUGGCUAGGCCGACUGGACCUUUGUUCUUCUAGAAAUGCCGUCAAGGGAGUGACGUGGCUCGGGUCGCAGUAGUGGCUAGGCCGACUGGAUCCUUAUUCUACUAGAAAUGCCGUCAAGGGAGUGACGUGGCUCGGGUCGCAGUAGUGGCUAGGCCGACUGGACCUUUGUUCUUCUAGAAAUGCCGUCAAGGGAGUGACGUGGCUCGGGUCGCAGUAGUGGCUAGGCCGACUGGACCUUUAUUCUUCUAGAAAUGCCGUACUGUUAGUAGAUAGCCGACCUCCGAGUAGGCUAUGCCCUUGUGUGGCAGUGAAUGAUAAUUGGAAUGCGUGCUAAGUGCGAUUAUGAUUUAUAUGAAAGUGAUGGCUUUUCAAUUGUUUGAAUUAUUAUUACUACCUGAGAUUGUGUGAUAUAAAUUGUGCUAAUCUGCAUGAAGGAAUUAAGACGAGGUAAGUCUUCUGUGUGACGUGGCUAGGCCACCCGGGGUGUAUUUUCUUUCUAAUAGGGGUUUAGGGGGUUGAACUUGCUGAGACAUCGUCUCAUCCCGGUUGUGAGAUUAAAAUUUCAGGUCCCCGGUGGACGGAGUGGCCAGAUAGCUUUGGUUGGCCUUGAGGAGUUGCAGAUGUGAAGUCGUAAGAUUGGAGAACGUGUUCGACUUGUAGGUCGUAGGACAGUUCAUUUUUUUUAGAGCCGGUCUUUUGUAGACUGUUGGCCGUAGACCAUUGUUUGUAAUUCUGUUGAUUUGUGAAAGCGUUAUGUGGUGAUUUUGCUUCCCGCUUUUCUAUCCCGUAAUUUAUUGUCAGGGGUUUUAUAAUACGCUUCCGCAUGUGCACUAAAGAAUUGAUUGGGUCGGCGACUUAACCUGGGACGUCGCAUUUG
RNAcentral lists this long non-coding RNA (2404 nucleotides) under Eucalyptus grandis. RNAcentral describes it as "long non-coding RNA (EGRA_LNC006261)". The record is from RNAcentral. Lineage: Eukaryota; Viridiplantae; Streptophyta; Magnoliopsida; Myrtales; Myrtaceae.